CUCCCAGAGUCUGUCAGCUAUGUUUGAACUCAGUCCAGCAGGGCUGCCUUUACUUUCUUCUCUACCAGGAAGAAUGCUCCAUUACACUGUGCUUUGCCUCUCUCUCUCUCUCUCUCUCUCUCUCUCUCUCUCUCUCUCUCUCUCUCUCAGAAGAUCAGUAACAGUGUUAUUUUCUGAUCAGUUCAGUAAUACAAUGCCCUCUGAUGUCCACACCAGCAUCUCACUGGAGAAGAAAAGAAUAUUGUUGGCUACCUGGGACCAGAAGACUUCUUAGUGAAUCCUGAAGUGGACUGACCUCAUCUUUCCGAGGCUAUGAUGUUUCAGAACAGUUUCACUAUUGCUGAACAACUGAGACCACCAGGAGCUCCUAAGUGCAAAGAGAUUGAUUGAUGGCUACAUCUCUCAUUCUGGAUACCACUAGAUCAUUCCAGCCACCUGCCACUGUGGUGUCUCCAGACAAGGGCUGACAACCAUAGAAGCAUCGAAGCCCUAAGGCUACUUGGAGAAAAGAAGAAUGCCCCUGGAGAAGGUAGGAGAGUCCUGCUUUGAAUGUCUAAUGUUUCACAAAAGACCAUGAUGGCUUACAUGAGGAGUGACUGUGCUGCAGAGAAGUAGGCAUCUGGCUUAGGGAAAGGGGCCCAGUACAGUGGUCCAUGCUGUACAUCAGAUAAGAGGUGGGGUAGGGAUGUGC
Mastomys coucha (southern multimammate mouse) is the source of this 691-nucleotide long non-coding RNA. RefSeq lists it as uncharacterized. The record is from RefSeq and is a predicted model, not a curated record. The transcript is spliced from 3 exons. Lineage: Eukaryota; Metazoa; Chordata; Mammalia; Rodentia; Muridae.